GGCGGAAAGAUCGUACUCCAUGGCUCCGGAAAAGUCACAAGGAGGGGCUCAAUUACUCAGAAACGAACAAGAAAGGGAAGAAGAAGCUCAAUGUGAAACGUGGUCGACCCAGGUGAUCAAAAACUUACAUUUAUAUAUUUGUAUAUAUUUUGUGUACGCACUUAAGUAACUGUUAUCGGUCAACUGAUAUGUUACCACAUGAAGGUAAAUUCCGGUGAUAUUCGAGCAUAGGGGGGAGAGGGAGACGCCGUCGUCGGGAGAAAAACAAAUAAUAAAAAGAAAAGUAAAGUAAACAGAAAAGGAAAAUAAGAAAAAGAAAAGAAAAU
Molecule: long non-coding RNA, 326 nt
Filed under: Hordeum vulgare
Lineage: Eukaryota; Viridiplantae; Streptophyta; Magnoliopsida; Poales; Poaceae
Description: long non-coding RNA (HVUL_LNC016089)
Source: RNAcentral